This 3033-nucleotide long non-coding RNA is filed under the name Sus scrofa (pig). RNAcentral's name for it is "lncRNA (ENSSSCG00000052273.1)". The record is from RNAcentral. Lineage: Eukaryota; Metazoa; Chordata; Mammalia; Artiodactyla; Suidae.
GGCAUGUGGAGGUUCCCAGCUAGGGGUCUAAUCAGAGCUGUAGCCACUGGCCUAUGCCAGAGGCAGAGCAACAUGAGAUCUGAGCUGCGUCUGCAACCUACACCACAGCUCACGGCAACGCCGGAUCGGUAACCCACUAAGGGAGGCCAUGGAUCAAACCUACAACCUCAUGGUUCCUAGUCAGAUUCGUUAACCACUGCGCCACCAAGGGAACUCUGGAUUUUUUUUUUUUAAACAACUCUCCUAUCUUGCUAUGAAGGCUUGCUAUGAAGUGGGCUAUGAUAAUGCCACUGUGUGUAAGUCUAACAAGCAUCUGCUCACUUGCCUAUUUACUAUUAAUUCUGAAGUGUGUGUUGGGGUAAAGGGAUUGGUCUCUGGGAAGCAUAUUUUUUUCUUUUUCUUUUGAAAUAAUUUCAGAUUUCUAGAAGAGUCACAAAGAUGAUACAGAAUGUUCCUGUAUAUAUUCCCCUCAACGUCUUCUAAUGUUCACAUCUUACAUAACUGGUACAUUUAUGAAAACUAAGAUCUUAGAUUGAUAUAACACUAUUAACUAAACUACAGACUUUGAGUUUCCUCAGUUUUUCCACAAACCUACUUUUUUUGCUCCAGGGUCCAAUUCAGAUCACUCAUUGGAUUUAGAGUGUAGUUUUGUUUUUUGUUUAUUUUUUAAUGAAAAGAACAUAAUGUAUUCCUGGAAAACUGCUGCUUCUCAGAUGAUGACAAUGAACAGAAUUUUCUAAGUGGAUGUUAUCUGAAUUAGCAUCACUGAGCUAAAAUUUUCCCUUAUUUCUGCUUAAAGUAGAAAGUGGAAUCAACACUCUCCAAGGCAAAAUCAGCUAUAAUGGUACAUAUUUUCUAAAUCUUGGGGGAAAAAAUGGCCUAAGGAUGACUUUUGUCUUGACUCUCAGCCUAAGCCAUCCUCAUUUCAUAGUUUUUCUAUAAAUGAUGAAUGCUAAUGGAAUGAACCCAAGGUACAGUCCCAAAUUGGCGUUUCAUAUUUAGGGCAAGCUGAAUGGUUCUUUUCCAAUUCUGCUUGACAAAUACAACAUGAACACAAAGAGGCAUGGAAAAGCUGUAAUCUAUUGAACCUGGUAAAUGUGAGUUGUAAGUAAUUGCAGUUCCUUCUUAGUCUCAUUUGCUGCACAACCAUUUCUCAUUAUAUGAUCCCUUAAAGUCAACCUGAUUCAGGAGCAGAUCAAUACCAGGGAAACCCUUUUGUCUUCUUUUAGGGCAUAAAAUUUAAAAGAUGCUUAAGUCAAUAUUCCUUUUAAUAAUGUGUCUUACGGAAAUGCCUGGGUUCCCCCUUCUUGUUAUAUAAUUAAUUGAGUUGCCUGCCACCCACAAGGUAUAGUCAUUCCUUCCCAUAAUUCUCCUUUGGCCUAAUUGCCAUUCUGUUUUCAGUUCUGUCUUUAGAUAUUUCUUUUUUUCCCAACAGUGUUGGGUGUGCUUUGUACUUAGUUUUAUCUUUCUGUGCUUUUGCUUCUAAAUGUCAGCAUAAUUUUUCUGCCUUAUAAUAUUGGAGAUGUUAUAAUCAUCCAUCAGCCCAAUAGAAGAGCAGAAAAGAUUAGAUAUCAUUUAUCUGUAUUGGUUGUUCAUUGUAAUGACCCAGUGGACAACAUGAACAGAUAAUCUGUUGCUUUGAUGGAAACUAAUUAUUCUUAAGCAUGACAGCAUCGAAAUAGCUUUUGUGACACUGUUUUUAAAAAUGACAGCUACCCCAGUCAUUAUUAGUGCAAGCAGAAGUUCAGUGGUGUUCUCCGAUGAUUUCCCUAUAUAAGUGACAAAACCGUUUGGAUCUUUUAUUACUGCUUUAUGGGAAAAUCGAACUAAAAUGUAAAAACUUUAAAAUUUCAAGUGACACUCAAAUAUAAGGGCUAGCCAAUAAAAAUUACUUAAUGUGAAAUAAUCUACUAUUCCCUAGAGAAAAGUUAAAGUGCAAUUAGAAGAUAACUUUGCUAGAAAGGGUUAAUGCAGCUUGGUUUUUAUUUUGCUGCUGGAGAUUGUACUAACCAUGGAGUUUGGGGAAUGAAGUUACCAUUAAGUAAAAUUCAUUUCUGGUGGUUCUAUGGUUAAUUCUUAAAAUAACACAAUUUAUCUGCACAAAUAGGAGAGAAAGUUUUAUUUUAUGUGUACUUAUGUGCAAACCUUUAAAAAAACCCAGUAUCCUGAUGGAUUUCUAUGUUUAUGUAGUUUCUAAAAUCUAUAGAAACUUGAUAUUCUAAGAUAGUUUUUAUAUUACUGGUGCCACUAAUAACCAAAUCAGGAUUUGCAUAUUAUUACUGGGCUAUAGCAGAGAUACACUUUCACUACAGUGUGCCUUGGCUUGAGAACAGAAACAAAGUAAAUAACUUCAUAGACUAAAUGUUUCCCUUUUUAAAAUACGUUUUGUUUUGGGGAUGUUUUAGAUGAUGAUAGAUCAUGACUAAUAUACUGAAAUACAUAAACCAAGUUUAUAAUUAUACAAGUUAUAUUUAUUAUUAAAAAGUUACCACUGUAAUAACAUCUGAAGAAUGCUAAAGUAGAAUAAAAAAUAAAAAAGUCCUUAAAAAAAAGAGUCCUUCUAUCUUCUACUUAUUCUAGUUUUCAAAAUCUCAUUCAUUUCUCAGAGAGUUGCUAACAAUUUGGUGCCUGUCUUUCCAGGCUUUCCCCCAUGUAUUUAUGUACAAGUAUGUACACACACACACACACACACACUCCUCUGAGGAGGAUUGUGUUAAUGGUAUUAUAUAGAUUGUCCUACAACUUGUUUUUUUCACUUGGAAAUAUCUUUUGAAUAUUUUUCCCUAUAUGUAUAUAUGGCUCUUCUCUUUAAAAAAAUGGUCCUUUUGUUUUUUGCUUUUUAGGGCCGCACCCAUGCCAUAUGGAGGUUCCCAGGCUAGGAGUCGAGCUAGGCUUCCAGCUACAGCUUCUGGUCUACACUACAGCCACAACAAUGCAGGAUCCAAGCCGCAUCUGUGACCUACACCACAGUUCAUGGCAAGGCCAGAUCCUUAACCCACUGAGCGAGGCCAGGGAUUGAACCUACAACCUCAU